This 392-nucleotide ribosomal RNA is filed under the name uncultured bacterium. RNAcentral's name for it is "partial 16S ribosomal RNA". It matches the Rfam family "Bacterial small subunit ribosomal RNA", at positions 523 to 918 of the family's 1533-position model. The record is from RNAcentral.
AUACGUAGGGGGCGAGCGUUGUCCGGAUUUACUGGGCGUAAAGGGUGAGUAGGCGGUUAUGUAUGUCAGGUGUAAAAGGCGUAGGCUUAACUUACGUUAGCACUUGAAACUGCAUAACUUGAGUGCAGGAGAGGUAAGUGGAAUUCCUAGUGUAGCGGUGAAAUGCGUAGAUAUUAGGAGGAACACCAGUGGCGAAGGCGACUUACUGGACUGUAACUGACGCUGAGUCACGAAAGCGUGGGUAGCAAACAGGAUUAGAUACCCUGGUAGUCCACGCUGUAAACGAUGAGUGCUAGGUGUUGGGUAGCGAUAUUCAGUGCCGAAGUAAACACAAUAAGCACUCUGCCUGGGGAGUAUGGUCGCAAGACUGAAACUUAAAGGAAUUGACGGGG